GAUUUUUUAAGUUAAAAUAAUAUUAUUAUAAUUGAUUUUAGUAUGAAUCUAGAAAAAAUUUUAUAGUUGAUAGGAUAGAGUAUAGUGAUAGAAAAAUUAAAUUAAUAAAUAAGUAAUUAUUUUUAAUGUAUCUUGGGUAUCAGAGUAUAUUAAAAAAAAUAUUUUUAAAAAUAUUUCUCGAAAUAAGAAGAGAUAUGGUUAUAUAAUUAUUAAUGUGAAAUAAUUAUAAUUUAUAGGACUAUAGAAAUGAAAAGUUAUUCGGUUCUUAUGAUAUCUAGUUUUUUAAGAAAUUAAUUUAAUUAAGAUUUUAUAAUAAUAUUUUGUUUUAUAUACUAAACUUAAUAAUUAUUUAAAAUUUAUAUAUUUGGGGAUAAGCUUAAAUAUAAAUUGGUAUAUUUGUCUAUUAAUAAAUUAAAAUUUAUAUAAAUAAAAUUUUUAAUUAAAUAAAAUUUUUUGUAAAAAUUUUUAUAGAUAAUGUAAUUUUAUUUUAGUAAUUACAUAUUAUAUUAAAAAAUUUAAUUUAAUUAUAUAAUUAAAUAUAGAAUGAUGUAAUUAGUAAAUGAACUGUAUAGAAGAUUAUUUUAAUUAAAUUUAUAAUUUAAUAAUUCGGCAAAUUAACUUAAUUUAUACUCACCUGUUUAAUAAAAACAUGUCUAAAGGGGUUAAUCUUUAGUCUAAUCUGCCCACUGAAUAAGAUUUGAAGGGCUGCAGUAUUUUGACUGUACUAAGGUAGCAUAAUCAAUAGUUUUUUAAUUGGAAACUGGUAUGAAUGAUUGGAUGAGGUAUAAACUUUUUUAAUUAUAUAAGGUUUUAACUUAAUUUUUUAGUAAAAAAGCUAAAAUUUGUUGAAAAGACGAGAAGACCCUAUAGAUUUUUAUAUAAUUUAUAAAAAAAGUUUUAUUUAUUGUAUUUGAUUGGGGUGAUUAAAAAAUUAAAUUAAUUUUUUUAUUUUUUUUACAGUAAUUAUUGGUUAAUUUAUCUAAUAAUAUUAAUUUAAAAAUAAAUUACCUUAGGGAUAACAGCAUAAUUUUAAUUUUCAGUUCUUAUGGAAAUUAAAGAUUGUGACCUCGAUGUUGGAUUAAGGUAAAAUUUAAAUGCAAAAGUUUAAAAUUUAAGUCUGUUCGACUUUUAAAACCUUACAUGAUCUGAGUUUAAACCGGUGUGAGCCAGGUUGGAUUCUAUCUUUUAAGAUAAAGGAUAUAUUAGUACGAAAGGAUUUUAUAUCUUUAUUGAAUAAUUAAAUAAAAAUAUAAUU
This 1255-nucleotide ribosomal RNA is filed under the name Chimarra sadayu. RNAcentral's name for it is "16S ribosomal RNA". Lineage: Eukaryota; Metazoa; Arthropoda; Insecta; Trichoptera; Philopotamidae. The record is from RNAcentral.